GUGCACAGUGAACACCCAAGGAAGCUUAUGUAGCUCUCCCUGGUCUUAAAUCUGUGCCACAGUAACUCUGAUCUGUACCUCUGCAUUAGGAGAGUCUGCUCCUCCCCUACAUGUAUUCAUCAGAUCAGAAUAAUC
This is a small nucleolar RNA of Melanotaenia boesemani (Boeseman's rainbowfish), 135 nucleotides long. RefSeq annotates it as small nucleolar RNA SNORA22. The transcript has a single exon. Lineage: Eukaryota; Metazoa; Chordata; Actinopteri; Atheriniformes; Melanotaeniidae. The record is from RefSeq and is a predicted model, not a curated record.